UACGGAGGGUGCAAGCGUUAUUCGGAAUCACUGGGUGUAAAGGGUGCGUAGGCGGCUAGGUAAGUCAGAGGUGAAAGGCUGCGGCUUAACUGUGAGAGGGCCUUUGAUACUGUGUAGCUUGAAUCAGAUAGAGGUUAGUGGAAUGCGCCAUGUAGCGGUGAAAUGCAUAGAUAUGUCGUGGAACACCGAUUGCGAAGGCAGCUAACUGGGUCUGUUAUUGACGCUGAGGCACGAAAGCGUGGGGAGCGAACAGG
Molecule: unclassified non-coding RNA, 254 nt
Filed under: uncultured Saprospiraceae bacterium
Lineage: Bacteria; Pseudomonadati; Bacteroidota; Saprospiria; Saprospirales; Saprospiraceae
Description: contains 16S-23S intergenic spacer region
Rfam family: Bacterial small subunit ribosomal RNA
Source: RNAcentral